This 291-nucleotide long non-coding RNA is filed under the name Mytilus galloprovincialis (Mediterranean mussel). The record is from RNAcentral. Lineage: Eukaryota; Metazoa; Mollusca; Bivalvia; Mytilida; Mytilidae.
UUUGGCUAGAUCUUUUCCAUUUAGACUUUCUCUUUUUCAUAACUUUUCCCUUUUCUUUAUUUACUUCCAUGUUAUAUAAAUUACAUUUGUUGCAAUACACAUGAUACAAUGAGAUAAGACCACACUAUUUACCUUGUGGUCAGGGAUUAACAGCUGGACACUGGUAUUAAACAGAUGAUUGACAUAUUGGUCCCUCCUAAAUGCCUAUAUCUUUAGAUUGAUUACUAUGUGCUUUUAUUUACAUAAGUUCAUUAUCAAUUUACUCCCUGUUGUGAUAUGAUAAAAAAAAAA